Molecule: ribosomal RNA, 682 nt
Filed under: Escherichia coli
Lineage: Bacteria; Pseudomonadati; Pseudomonadota; Gammaproteobacteria; Enterobacterales; Enterobacteriaceae
Description: partial 23S ribosomal RNA
Rfam family: Bacterial large subunit ribosomal RNA
Source: RNAcentral
GGGUUGUGAGGUUAAGCGACUAAGCGUACACGGUGGAUGCCCUGGCAGUCAGAGGCGAUGAAGGACGUGCUAAUCUGCGAUAAGCGUCGGUAAGGUGAUAUGAACCGUUAUAACCGGCGAUUUCCGAAUGGGGAAACCCAGUGUGAUUCGUCACACUAUCAUUAACUGAAUCCAUAGGUUAAUGAGGCGAACCGGGGGAACUGAAACAUCUAAGUACCCCGAGGAAAAGAAAUCAACCGAGAUUCCCCCAGUAGCGGCGAGCGAACGGGGAGCAGCCCAGAGCCUGAAUCAGUGUGUGUGUUAGUGGAAGCGUCUGGAAAGGCGCGCGAUACAGGGUGACAGCCCCGUACACAAAAAUGCACAUACUGUGAGCUCGAUGAGUAGGGCGGGACACGUGGUAUCCUGUCUGAAUAUGGGGGGACCAUCCUCCAAGGCUAAAUACUCCUGACUGACCGAUAGUGAACCAGUACCGUGAGGGAAAGGCGAAAAGAACCCCGGCGAGGGGAGUGAAAAAGAACCUGAAACCGUGUACGUACAAGCAGUGGGAGCCUCUUAAUGGGGUGACUGCGUACCUUUUGUAUAAUGGGUCAGCGACUUAUAUUCUGUAGCAAGGUUAACCGAAUAGGGGAGCCGAAGGGAAACCGAGUCUUAACUGGGCGUUAAGUUGCAGGGUAUAGACCCG